Long non-coding RNA from Varroa destructor (honeybee mite), 1858 nucleotides. RefSeq lists it as uncharacterized. NCBI's taxonomy places the organism in Eukaryota, Metazoa, Arthropoda, Arachnida, Mesostigmata, Varroidae. The record is from RefSeq and is a predicted model, not a curated record.
ACGAUGUUUAGGAAAAAUUUCAGUUUACAGCUGAAGUUGUCCCCACUCAUCAAAUUGUCCGUCUGCCUUUAUUUACCUACUGAAGAGGUUUCGGUUCGACAGAAAACAUAAUAUCACGCGGGUCAGAUCAGGGAUCCGACUCUUAAUCCGCGUUCAACCUUCAAGCAUCAGAGACCUAAUCUGAAACAAACCUGGAUGUACAAGUCACGUAACCGCCAGUCGGACUGAAAUCUCCACCGCUACUCAUCCUUCGUGCGCCGUCAUCGAAUCUAAGUGAAAUUUAAGUGAUCAGAGACAGGGCGCCCCAUUGAACACCCAUUGGCUUUGAUCACCUCCUUUCUUCUUUAGUCGUACGUAUCGCCUUGCCAGAGCCGAAUGUGGCAUAACACUUCGAGUUCUACCAAGCCCUACUUCUACCGUCUACCAGCAGGGAUGGAUGGCCACUUGGAUCGGCAAGUAGUUAAACAGUUUCAACAAUAACACGAGCUACAACGCCGCUAAGGUUCACGGCAUCGUACCGAAUCGACCUUCUACCCACCAGAUGUCGCUGUCUCGCUAGCAUUCUGCUGGGACAGAAGGAGUCACAAAAUGACAAUUACUGCAACUACUACGUCCUUAUAGCUCUGUGUAUGCGGCGGUAAGGGCGACACAUACGACUGUGGAUCGUAGGAGAGAAAAUGGUGGGGUUCACCUGGGAGCGGUCAAUGCUAGCCUAGUUGGAGCGACAAAUAAAUCGCUACUGGUGGAUGCAGUAUGAAAAGAACAAAACGGGAUUAAGACUGACCUGCCAUUCGACCAAUGUUAGAUAGGCGCCACUAUGUGUUAUUGCACGUCCAACGUGCAGAGGUCUCCCACGUACAGACAUACACGCAGAAUGAAAAAUAUACAUUCAUCGCGCAUCAAGGAAGAAUGGAUUGAAUAUACUAAAAAAUCUUUAGUAUAUGAAAUAGUGAAUUGCGGAUCGGGUGUUUGAGGGAACAGUUUUCUUGGCUUAUGCAGUAGGGUCAGCAUUGCACGCGCAAGUGGAACACGAAAGAAGUAGCAUAGGUCGAUCGAUCCGCUUUCGAAGGUUUCGCAUCGAAGAGUAAAAUUAGGACAAUUUACGAAGUAGUAGUCAUAUUUUGAGUCUGUUUACCCUUGAAGUAUUCGCAACUAAAGACACUUCUACGCGUAACAAUUAACGCAACACUAUGAUUCUAGGAACAUCUAUAGAAAGACAGAAUUCGUUUGUUUCCUUUGUCAUACUAAACAACGAAGCUGAUGUGCACAGAAGAUCGAUUAUUUUGAUCCUACUUAUUUUGAUACUGUUGGCAAACUAUUCGGGCACCGUGUAUGGAUGACUCGCAUCCGAGACAGCCAUAAAGAGUGUUUUAAGAGCCAUAAGAGCGAGAGGUAUCCCAUCGGAUUCUAUGGGUAUUUUUUGCACGCCGAAGUUUUCACAACCACACAUCAUCAUCGGACAAUAACAUUGCUUUUAUUACUCGGCAAAAGUACCAGGAUAACCAAAGGGGAAUAGGUUGUUUCCCGUCUGUUAUCAAUCUCCCGGUCCAGUGCGCAAACAAGGUACAAAAAAAGAAAGCAGUCACUCCUAGAAACAGAGCAUAAGGAAAAGUCCCAAUUUAGGGGGGUCGUGCCCAUAGGAAGGUGCAGAGGUGUGAUUGCUAGUCUAAUUCGUCGGAGUUUCAAAGAGAACUUUCGCUUUCUGAGCGAAGCGCAGUAAUCGACAGUACAGUUCCCAAUGGACUCCGAUGAUCCAGUUAUCAUCCUACAGCCAUACGCAUAGAGUGGCAAGCUAUUUCAUUUUGUUUGCUUGACUUUACAAUUGGAUCCGCUCACGGCGGCUGGGUCCCUGGGGUGU